GUGACUCGCGGCCGCAUUUAGUGGAGGCUUGUGAUUUGUGCGAGACGUGUUUUUAGUGUUCUAAAUUCAAAAUGUAUUGUUUUUAAAUAUGAAACAGUAACAGCCAGUUUGAAAAUGAAACUCUUUGGAGUUAAUCUCUAUAAUUGGAACAACACAUAGAAACGACUCCUUGGUGUCUUGAAAGACUGUUAAAAUCACAAGAAUUUAGAGAAUACGCUAUAGCUUUACAAGACUAUGAGAGUUACAAAUAAUGCUGGCUUCGAGGAAUUACUAAAAAUCAGUUGGAAUCAGAUAAAAUCAUUUGUAAAAGAAUAUUAGUAGAUCUCCAACUUUUGCAAGUACAUGGGAGAAGUAAAUGCCUCGGAGAACCCGUAAUUUUUCUGUUCCGACAACUUUUGGAUUGAAACUAUUCUAGUAAAACCAAAUAAAAGAUAUAAAAAAAUUGUAGAAUAAAAU
Molecule: long non-coding RNA, 456 nt
Organism: Papilio polytes (common Mormon)
Lineage: Eukaryota; Metazoa; Arthropoda; Insecta; Lepidoptera; Papilionidae
Exons: 3
Source: RefSeq, a predicted model, not a curated record